GUGGGGAAUCUUGCGCAAUGGGCGAAAGCCUGACGCAGCCAUGUCGCGUGAAUGAUGAAGGUCUUAGGAUUGUAAAAUUCUUUCACCGGGGACGAUAAUGACGGUACCCGGAGAAGAAGCUCCGGCUAACUUCGUGCCAGCAGCCGCGGUAAUACGAAGGGGGCUAGCGUUGCUCGGAAUUACUGGGCGUAAAGGGCGCGUAGGCGGACAGCUUAGUCAGAGGUGAAAGCCCAGGGCUCAACCUUGGAAUUGCCUUUGAUACUGGCUGUCUUGAGUACGGGAGAGGUGAGUGGAACUCCGAGUGUAGAGGUGAAAUUCGUAGAUAUUCGGAAGAACACCAGUGGCGAAGGCGACUCACUGGCCCGUUACUGACGCUGAGGCGCGAAAGCGUGGGGAGCAAACAGGAUUAGAAACCCCAGUAGUCC
RNAcentral lists this ribosomal RNA (425 nucleotides) under uncultured bacterium. RNAcentral describes it as "partial 16S ribosomal RNA". It matches the Rfam family "Bacterial small subunit ribosomal RNA", at positions 354 to 796 of the family's 1533-position model. The record is from RNAcentral.